This 253-nucleotide ribosomal RNA is filed under the name uncultured bacterium. RNAcentral describes it as "partial 16S ribosomal RNA". It matches the Rfam family "Bacterial small subunit ribosomal RNA", at positions 524 to 776 of the family's 1533-position model. The record is from RNAcentral.
UACGUAGGGUGCAAGCGUUGUCCGGAAUUAUUGGGCGUAAAGAGCUCGUAGGCGGUCUGUCGCGUCGGCUGUGAAAACCCGGAGCUCAACUCCGGGCCUGCAGUCGAUACGGGCAAACUGGAGUGUUGCAGGGGAGACUGGAAUUCCUGGUGUAGCGGUGAAAUGCGCAGAUAUCAGGAGGAACACCGGUGGCGAAGGCGGGUCUCUGGGCAGUAACUGACGCUGAGGAGCGAAAGCGUGGGGAGCGAACAGG